This 31-nucleotide small RNA is filed under the name Saccharolobus solfataricus. The record is from RNAcentral. Lineage: Archaea; Thermoproteati; Thermoproteota; Thermoprotei; Sulfolobales; Sulfolobaceae.
GCGGCUUGAAUUAUGAUGAUCCAUUGUAGCA